GGCUGGAGAUGUGCUGGAAUCAGCCCCAGCAGAAGGUGCCUGAGCUCCUCCACAGCGUGGGAGAGGCGGCUGCAGCCUCCCAGAGCCAGGAAUAUCCCUGGAGAAGCUUCCCAGGAGCUGUGCAGUGCUGGGAACAGCCCAGGUCACUGCUUUGGUUAUUUAUUUAACUCCAACAAAUCUUUUCACCGCCCAGAGCACGGCAGUAGGGGCUAAACAGCUCCAAGUUUUUCACGUUUUUGUCAUUGCAGUGUUUUCAUCCCAGAAUUUACAUUUCAUGUUGGACUACCCAGUGACAGAAAGGAGUGUCCUGGGCCUCUGCUCCCUGCCAUGGCCAAAGGGCCACGUUUCACCCUUCUGAUUUCCCAUUUGGGUGGCAAAAAGCUGCUGUGUCAUCCCCUGGGCCAGCCCCUCUGCCAGGAGGUUUGAUUGGAUUCUGCAGCUGCUUCUGGACUUUGAAAUGGGGUCAUGCCAGGAGGGGAGGAAGUCAGGUGGUUCUUCUGUUUAUUUAUUUAAUAAACAGCCCUCCAAGCCUCA
Long non-coding RNA from Parus major (Great Tit), 534 nucleotides. RefSeq lists it as uncharacterized. The transcript is spliced from 2 exons. The record is from RefSeq and is a predicted model, not a curated record. NCBI's taxonomy places the organism in Eukaryota, Metazoa, Chordata, Aves, Passeriformes, Paridae.